AGCUUAUGGACGAGCAGGAAAGAAGUUAGGAAGACUUCCGGAGGAAUUACUGACAGCUGAGCAGAAUUAACCAGAUGAGUCUGAAAAGAGGUUUAGUGACUCACCCAAGACCUUGGAACUAGCAUUAUCUUUUACCAACUUGAAUUCAAUGUAACUCUGAUAAAGAUGUCAACAUACAGUCCGGUCUAAAAGAGUUAUCCCAAUAACAAAGAGCUGAGUGAUCAAAAACAACUUCAAGGGGCCAGCCCAGUGGCAUACUGGAAGGUCAGCCCUGAGCUAACAUCUGCCACCAAUCCUCCUCUUUUUGCUGAGGAAGACUGGCCCUGAGCUAACAUCCGUGCCUAUCUUCCUGUACUUUGUAUGUGGGACGCCGAACCACAGUAUGGCUUGCCAAGCGGUGCCAUGUCCACACCCAGGAUCCGAACCGCUGAACCCUGGGGUGCCAAAACAGAACUUGCGAACUUAACCGCUGCACCACCAGGCCGGCCCUACUUAUGGACUAAUUUUGAUUGUCCUUGAGAAAAGGUUU
Molecule: long non-coding RNA, 529 nt
Filed under: Equus asinus (donkey)
Lineage: Eukaryota; Metazoa; Chordata; Mammalia; Perissodactyla; Equidae
Description: lncRNA (ENSEASG00005033928.1)
Source: RNAcentral